This 221-nucleotide microRNA precursor is filed under the name Arabidopsis thaliana x Arabidopsis arenosa. RNAcentral describes it as "MIR854". It matches the Rfam family "MIR854 microRNA precursor family". The record is from RNAcentral. Lineage: Eukaryota; Viridiplantae; Streptophyta; Magnoliopsida; Brassicales; Brassicaceae.
UGGAAGUAGACUGGGAAGAGCCAUAUGAUACAAGUAUGUAUCAUUUCAGUGAACAUGUAGCUCCAGCAAGAGAGAGUAAGAGCUUGAGUGAAGCCCACAAAAACCAGAGCCUAUUGCAGAAGUGGUGCAAGAAGCAAGACAAGUACAUCAACAAGUUCAUAAAGGGUAUGAAGUCUCUGAAGGGCAUGGUUAGCUGCUCCUCUUCCAGCACAGCAAUACCA